AAACCUAAAGGCGUAAUGAAAGUGAAGGUUCUCCUAGUGCGAGAACCUAGGGAGGACGGGCGGUUUUCACCCUUAAAAGUGGCCGUCCGGCACUCCCGGGGCGUCUCGUUCUCAUCGCGAGAAGAGGCGCACCAAGAGCGUACACGCUGGGACCCGAAAGAUGGUGAACUAUGCCUGGUCAGGACGAAGUCAGGGGAAACCCUGAUGGAGGUCCGUAGCGAUUCUGACGUGCAAAUCGAUCGUCGGAACUGGGUAUAGGGGCGAAAGACUAAUCGAACCAUCUAGUAGCUGGUUCCCUCCGAAGUUUCCCUCAGGAUAGCUGGCGCUCGUCGCGUACGAGUCUCAUCUGGUAAAGCGAAUGAUUAGAGGCAUUGGGGUCGAAACGACCUCAACCUAUUCUCAAACUUUAAAUGGGUGAGAUCUCCGGCUUGCUCGAACUUAAAUACACGUGUCGUCGUCGUCGUCGCCGYCGUCUUUUCUUUCUUGGKCGG
RNAcentral lists this ribosomal RNA (491 nucleotides) under Trigonopterus trigonopterus. RNAcentral describes it as "eukaryotic LSU rRNA". It matches the Rfam family "Eukaryotic large subunit ribosomal RNA", at positions 704 to 1104 of the family's 3401-position model. Lineage: Eukaryota; Metazoa; Arthropoda; Insecta; Coleoptera; Curculionidae. The record is from RNAcentral.